CAAUACAACUGCAGUGCAAGC
Molecule: microRNA, 21 nt
Filed under: Drosophila virilis
Lineage: Eukaryota; Metazoa; Arthropoda; Insecta; Diptera; Drosophilidae
Description: dvi-miR-33-3p
Gene: dvi-miR-33-3p
Source: miRBase by way of RNAcentral